GACGAACGCUGGCGGCGUGCUUAACACAUGCAAGUCGAACGGAAAGGCCCUUUCGGAGGUACUCGAGUGGCGAACGGGUGAGUAACACGUGGGUGAUCUGCCCUGCACUCUGGGAUAAGCCUGGGAAACUGGGUCUAAUACCGGAUAGGACCGCACUUUAGUGUGUGUGGUGGAAAGUUUUUUCGGUGUAGGAUGAGCCCGCGGCCUAUCAGCUUGUUGGUGGGGUAAUGGCCUACCAAGGCGGCGACGGGUAGCCGGACUGAGAGGUUGGUCGGCCACAUUGGGACUGAGAUACGGCCCAGACUCCUACGGGAGGCAGCAGUGGGGAAUAUUGCACAAUGGGCGCAAGCCUGAUGCAGCGACGCCGCGUGGGGGAUGACGGCCUUCGGGUUGUAAACUCCUUUCGCCAGGGACGAAGCGUUUUGUGACGGUACCUGGAGAAGAAGCACCGGCUAACUACGUG
This 463-nucleotide ribosomal RNA is filed under the name uncultured bacterium. RNAcentral's name for it is "partial 16S ribosomal RNA". It matches the Rfam family "Bacterial small subunit ribosomal RNA", at positions 28 to 507 of the family's 1533-position model. The record is from RNAcentral.